RNAcentral lists this transfer RNA (77 nucleotides) under Nitrospinota bacterium. RNAcentral describes it as "tRNA-Asn". It matches the Rfam family "tRNA". From Rfam's summary of the family: Transfer RNA (tRNA) molecules are approximately 80 nucleotides in length. Their secondary structure includes four short double-helical elements and three loops (D, anti-codon, and T loops). The record is from RNAcentral. Lineage: Bacteria; Pseudomonadati; Nitrospinota.
UCCCCGGUAGCUCAGUUCGGUAGAGCGGUCGGCUGUUAACCGAUUGGUCGCUGGUUCGAGUCCGGCCCGGGGAGCCA